RNAcentral lists this ribosomal RNA (430 nucleotides) under uncultured low G+C Gram-positive bacterium. Its description in RNAcentral is "bacterial SSU rRNA". It matches the Rfam family "Bacterial small subunit ribosomal RNA", at positions 1073 to 1504 of the family's 1533-position model. Lineage: Bacteria; Bacillati; Bacillota. The record is from RNAcentral.
UGUUGGGUUAAGUCCCGCAACGAGCGCAACCCUUGAUCUUAGUUGCCAGCAUUUAGUUGGGCACUCUAAGGUGACUGCCGGUGACAAACCGGAGGAAGGUGGGGAUGACGUCAAAUCAUCAUGCCCCUUAUGACCUGGGCUACACACGUGCUACAAUGGAUGGUACAAAGGGCUGCAAGACCGCGAGGUUUAGCCAAUCCCAUAAAACCAUUCUCAGUUCGGAUUGCAGGCUGCAACUCGCCUGCAUGAAGCCGGAAUCGCUAGUAAUCGCGGAUCAGCAUGCCGCGGUGAAUACGUUCCCGGGCCUUGUACACACCGCCCGUCACACCACGAGAGUUUGUAACACCCGAAGUCGGUGGGGUAACCGUAAGGAGCCAGCCGCCUAAGGUGGGACAGAUGAUUGGGGUGAAGUCGUAACAAGGUAAAUCCA